Molecule: long non-coding RNA, 467 nt
Organism: Gavialis gangeticus (Gharial)
Lineage: Eukaryota; Metazoa; Chordata; Crocodylia; Gavialidae
Exons: 3
Source: RefSeq, a predicted model, not a curated record
UAUAGUAAGAACUGGAAAAGUCAUGCUAAGUUGAGGCUUGUUCACAACAGAUAAAUACAAAUCCCUGACGCUGCAAGCUAUCUAUGGUUUCUGAAGAAACAAUGAGGUAUCCUAUCCAGUAUAUCUGCUAUCCACAGGAAGUUCAAGCUGGCUCCUAAGUGUCUAUUUACCCUUAAACUUAAGUUUUUUCCUGGUUGUUGAUCAGUUUCUUGAUUGUUCUAAACCAGAUAACCCCUUCUCAAUAGAAAAGACAACUAAGCUACUUACACUAUUAAAAGAAUGCUUUGAAGAAGCUGAACUGAGGGUAUAAAAAUCUGUAAAAAAGCAGCAAAGUUGUGCUUCAAGAGGAGAAGUCCCUCUGACACCAUCUGCUGUUGUUCCUGAGAAGCUGGAAGGAACAGAUCGUGUCUCCCUUCAAGGAUUGUGCUAAGAACUUUACCUGUCAGCAUUGGAACCCAAGUGCCUUG